ACGGGAGGCAGCAGUGAGGAAUAUUGGUCAAUGGACGGAAGUCUGAACCAGCCAAGUCGCGUGCGGGAUGAAGGCCCUACGGGUCGUAAACCGCUUUUGUACGGGGAUAAAGUCACCCACGUGUGGGUGUUUGUAGGUACCGUAAGAAUAAGGAUCGGCUAACUCCGUGCCAGCAGCCGCGGUAAUACGGAGGAUCCGAGCGUUAUCCGGAUUUAUUGGGUUUAAAGGGUGCGCAGGCGGUCGAUUAAGUCAGUGGUCAAAUCACGGUGCUCAACGCCGUUCCGCCAUUGAUACUGGUUGACUUGAUUCCGGUCGAGGCAGGCGGAAUUCGUAGUGUAGCGGUGAAAUGCAUAGAUAUUACGAAGAACUCCGAUUGCGUAGGCAGCUUACCAGGCCGGCAAUGACGCUCAUGCACGAAAGUGCGGGGAUCGAACAGGAUUAGAUACCCUGGUA
RNAcentral lists this ribosomal RNA (453 nucleotides) under uncultured Marinilabiliaceae bacterium. RNAcentral's name for it is "partial 16S ribosomal RNA". It matches the Rfam family "Bacterial small subunit ribosomal RNA", at positions 341 to 792 of the family's 1533-position model. The record is from RNAcentral. Lineage: Bacteria; Pseudomonadati; Bacteroidota; Bacteroidia; Marinilabiliales; Marinilabiliaceae.